AAGUCGUAACAAGGUAUCCGUAGGUGAACCUGCGGAUGGAUCAUUAUGGAGCUGUCCUGCAUGUGUGUGGUGCGUUCUGGAGAGUGGGCGGCGCGGCGCUGUGCCGCCGCCGCCCGCAGAGACGUGGUGGACGCGGCGCGAUAUCACACCUCAGUGCGACAACUUUUAGCAAUGGAUCUCUUGGCUCUC
Molecule: unclassified non-coding RNA, 189 nt
Filed under: fungal sp.
Lineage: Eukaryota; Fungi
Description: partial internal transcribed spacer region
Rfam family: Eukaryotic small subunit ribosomal RNA (bases 1-46)
Source: RNAcentral